GUUCUGUAUGAAAGUUGAGAAAAUUACCACUCCUCUUGAUAAAGGUGGAAGGGGCCCUCAGGCCUUACAGCAUGCAUAUGAUUAAGGCAUUGCCACCUACUUUGUGGCAUCUAACCACAGUUUGGA
Small nuclear RNA from Trichechus manatus latirostris (Florida manatee), 126 nucleotides. NCBI's taxonomy places the organism in Eukaryota, Metazoa, Chordata, Mammalia, Sirenia, Trichechidae. The record is from RefSeq and is a predicted model, not a curated record.